Molecule: ribosomal RNA, 492 nt
Filed under: uncultured bacterium
Lineage: Bacteria
Description: partial 16S ribosomal RNA
Rfam family: Bacterial small subunit ribosomal RNA
Source: RNAcentral
AUUGAACGCUGGCGGCAUGCUUUACACAUGCAAGUCGAACGGUAACAGGCCUUCGGGUGCUGACGAGUGGCGAACGGGUGAGUAAUGCAUCGGAACGUGCCCAGAGGUGGGGGAUAACGCAGCGAAAGCUGUGCUAAUACCGCAUGUGAUCUGAGGAUGAAAGCGGGGGACCAGGCAGCAAUGUUUGGCCUCGCGCCUUUGGAGCGGCCGAUGUCAGAUUAGGUAGUUGGUGGGGUAAAGGCCUACCAAGCCGACGAUCUGUAGCUGGUCUGAGAGGACGACCAGCCACACUGGGACUGAGACACGGCCCAGACUCCUACGGGAGGCAGCAGUGGGGAAUUUUGGACAAUGGGCGAAAGCCUGAUCCAGCAAUGCCGCGUGAGGGAAGAAGGCCUUCGGGUUGUAAACCGCUUUUGUACGGAACGAAAAGGCUCUGGCUAAUACCUGGGGCUGAUGACGGUACCGUAAGAAUAAGCACCGGCUAACUACGUG